Long non-coding RNA from Coregonus clupeaformis (lake whitefish), 210 nucleotides. RefSeq lists it as uncharacterized. The transcript is spliced from 3 exons. NCBI's taxonomy places the organism in Eukaryota, Metazoa, Chordata, Actinopteri, Salmoniformes, Salmonidae. The record is from RefSeq and is a predicted model, not a curated record.
AAGGGGAACUUGUCGCCGGCAUCUUGAAUCUCAAAUCAUGAACCACAUGCAGGACUUCUUGAAGAGAUUGAGUCGACAGGUCAAACUGAUGGGAUGCAGCCAGAGGAUGAGAUGCAGGAAAACAAGUGUACAGGACCAAUGGAAGGCAAACGACAAUAUGAGCGAGUAACCAUCCCAUCCGUCAUGCAGUGGUUGAGCGGCCAAGCCCAC